CAUUUCCUGUACGUAUUUCAUCCAUCAAAUCAUGUUUUCCAGUAUGUAAAUAAGAGCCAUCAGUGCAUCAUUUUAAAAUCCAUCCAUACUGUGCUAAAUAAACUACAGAUCCUUGACCUAAGAACCUUAAAAGGGUCCCCCAAAUUACUCUAGACGUGUUUUUCCACCUAUAUGAUAUCCAAAUAUGCAGUUCUGGGAGUCCCAACAUUAAAAUGGAGGACAAAUCCUAACAAAUUUGAUAUUAGGCGUUGAUUAUUCAACAGGAUUAUCCCCACACUUGGCUGAGGACACGUUUUGAUUGGAACUACUUUCUGACACUGUUGGCAGGUCUUUGCAUUAACUUGAGGAACAAUCAUAUUGGGGAGGGGGUUGGAGUUUCAGAUGUGGUUUUCUCAUCACAUUAGCAGAUAAAACGAAACCAUCAGCAAGGUUAGCAAGAGGCGGACAUGCAGAGAUAUUUUACUGACACUUACCUGCGAAAUCACCGUGGAGAAGUUCUUUCAGCGCAGGUCCAUAAAGCGACAUUAAUGUAUAUUUAAUUCCAUAUAACUUUUGUUCUGUUUCGAAGAAAACUGAAAGCAGAGCGACGGCGCCACUUGCCCCUUCUCCGCUGAGGACGAGCGGGGGAGGACUGCAAUACGGGAAAUAGCUGAGUCACGAGACCAUUUCUUGGAAGUGUGAAGCCAGACGAGAGGCAACAGAGAGCUAAAAGUGCACACACUAAAACACAGGAUAAAGUGAGCCAUGCACACAGGUGAAGAAAAGGUCUGCAGCUAACUUUCAUAUCAUUAAACAUCCUAAAAUCUACGAGAUAGGACAGGUGCAGAGGUGGACAAAGAAUGUGUCUCCUUAACUUGAGUAAAAGAACUAAUAGCCUACCACACUGUAACACAAGUACUGCAUUAAGAGUGGUACUUAAUAAAAGGUACCAUUAGGGAAAUGUACUUCCCAAGUAAAAGACAGAAGAAACUCGUAAAAUAUUAAAAUAAUUUAAAACAUUUUAAAGCAAAAUCUUAAUUCCAAUACAUUUUCAGUUAACCAACUUGUGGUUUUAGUUACUUAAAUAUAAUGUUGGAUGGUUUAAUCUAUCAAGGAGGAACCAGUCAUUUUAUGAGAGGGGCAAAUUGAAUACUGGACAAAAGACAACCCCCAGAACCGCCCAUAAACCCAUGUGCAUUUUGGGGUAAAACAUACAUUAUUUCCUAAACAAAUGUACAUUAAAGGAUCUUAAACAUGUCUGUAGUAACUGUAAUGUUAUGUCUCAUGUCUGUUUAUAUGUUUAUUAUCUUGUAUACUUUUUGUGAUUGGCUCUCUUGUAGUGUUUUUAUUUUAUUAGUCUUUGCUGCAACACUAUCACAAAUUGCAUUAUCAUAGAUUCUUCUUUUGGAAGGUGGGGCCACAGAACCACCCAUGUUUUGCAUAUAACAAUAAAGUCUUUGAAUCCUUGAA
Eleginops maclovinus (Patagonian blennie) is the source of this 1449-nucleotide long non-coding RNA. RefSeq lists it as uncharacterized. The record is from RefSeq and is a predicted model, not a curated record. NCBI's taxonomy places the organism in Eukaryota, Metazoa, Chordata, Actinopteri, Perciformes, Eleginopidae. The transcript has 2 exons.